This 1375-nucleotide ribosomal RNA is filed under the name Klebsiella pneumoniae. Its description in RNAcentral is "partial 23S ribosomal RNA". It matches the Rfam family "Bacterial large subunit ribosomal RNA", at positions 104 to 1527 of the family's 2925-position model. The record is from RNAcentral. Lineage: Bacteria; Pseudomonadati; Pseudomonadota; Gammaproteobacteria; Enterobacterales; Enterobacteriaceae.
CCGGCGAUGUCCGAAUGGGGAAACCCAGUGCAAUUCGUUGCACUAUCGUUAACUGAAUACAUAGGUUAACGAGGCGAACCGGGGGAACUGAAACAUCUAAGUACCCCGAGGAAAAGAAAUCAACCGAGAUUCCCCCAGUAGCGGCGAGCGAACGGGGAGCAGCCCAGAGUCUGAAUCAGCUUGUGUGUUAGUGGAACGGUCUGGAAAGUCCGACGGUACAGGGUGAUAGUCCCGUACACCAAAAUGCACAGGUUGUGAACUCGAAGAGUAGGGCGGGACACGUGGUAUCCUGUCUGAAUAUGGGGGGACCAUCCUCCAAGGCUAAAUACUCCUGACUGACCGAUAGUGAACCAGUACCGUGAGGGAAAGGCGAAAAGAACCCCGGCGAGGGGAGUGAAAAAGAACCUGAAACCGUGUACGUACAAGCAGUGGGAGCACCUUCGGGUGUGACUGCGUACCUUUUGUAUAAUGGGUCAGCGACUUAUAUUCUGUAGCAAGGUUAACCGUAUAGGGGAGCCGCAGGGAAACCGAGUCUUAACUGGGCGUUAAGUUGCAGGGUAUAGACCCGAAACCCGGUGAUCUAGCCAUGGGCAGGUUGAAGGUUGGGUAACACUAACUGGAGGACCGAACCGACUAAUGUUGAAAAAUUAGCGGAUGACUUGUGGCUGGGGGUGAAAGGCCAAUCAAACCGGGAGAUAGCUGGUUCUCCCCGAAAGCUAUUUAGGUAGCGCCUCGUGAAUUCAUCUUCGGGGGUAGAGCACUGUUUCGGCUAGGGGGUCAUCCCGACUUACCAACCCGAUGCAAACUACGAAUACCGAAGAAUGUUAUCACGGGAGACACACGGCGGGUGCUAACGUCCGUCGUGAAGAGGGAAACAACCCAGACCGCCAGCUAAGGUCCCAAAGUCAUGGUUAAGUGGGAAACGAUGUGGGAAGGCACAGACAGCCAGGAUGUUGGCUUAGAAGCAGCCAUCAUUUAAAGAAAGCGUAAUAGCUCACUGGUCGAGUCGGCCUGCGCGGAAGAUGUAACGGGGCUAAACCAUGCACCGAAGCUGCGGCAGCGACACUAUGUGUUGUUGGGUAGGGGAGCGUUCUGUAAGCCUGCGAAGGUGUGCUGUGAGGCAUGCUGGAGGUAUCAGAAGUGCGAAUGCUGACAUAAGUAACGAUAAAGCGGGUGAAAAGCCCGCUCGCCGGAAGACCAAGGGUUCCUGUCCAACGUUAAUCGGGGCAGGGUGAGUCGACCCCUAAGGCGAGGCCGAAAGGCGUAGUCGAUGGGAAACAGGUUAAUAUUCCUGUACUUGGUGUUACUGCGAAGGGGGGACGGAGAAGGCUAUGUUAGCCGGGCGACGGUUGUCCCGGUUUAAGCAUGUAGGCUG